AUUUAACAUAUGGAAUAUUAGUGAGGAUUUACCGAGGGAUCAGCUACGGAUCUCGCAAAGAUUUAACGAUGCACCAAUAUUCCUCGCUAAUCACUCGAAAAAUGAAGGCGCUUAGCUAGGGUUCAACGAGGGAUAAAAACAUUGUGCCACCUGACCCGUUUAGCGAGAGAACGACGACGGAAACAAAAUUUGGGAUACACGCGUUUUGUUUUUUCUAUCGCCAAUCGCUCGCGCUGAAACUGGCACAACCCAGUUCCAUCUUCACGAUGGUGGUGUAACUUUCCUUCCCUCCAGCUUUAUCACUCUUGACUCUGGAGAUGCAGACCUUAUUAUGCUCGCUUUGGCUACACAUGAACUCCAUUUUUCCAUUUUGCGAGAGAAGAUAAGUCAAAAACAAGUCACUCAUCUGUGUUGUUUCAAGCUGGAAAUUUCGAAACCAAUGUGAUGAAAUGUAGAGGAUGGUUCAAACAGGCAGUUGACUAUAUAUUAACAUUUUACUUUCUUUUAAUUCCUUGUUAAUACAGGCUAAUCCGUUUUUCCUGUGCUUCUGCUAGUUUGACCUGAACCGUGAUAAAGUUGAUAUAAGUCAACAGAUGAACAGCCUUGAUAUUACAGCUGUUGGAAAGCCAAAGUGGUUUGUGAGGAAGCCGCAUCAGUUUCUUCAUGUUUGGAUACUGAGAUAAUAUCUUAACCUUGAUUUGAGAUCCACAAAUGUGCCUGAAAAAUUUGAAUAUGAUAUUGAACGACUGAUUGACGAUUUCAUAUUCAUAUGCUUUUUCGGUGGAAAUGAUUUUCUUCCGCAUAUGCCAACCUUGGAAAUUCAUGAGGGUGGUAUUAAUUUUUUGAUUCAUGUGUACAAGCAAGAGUUCAAGAACCUUGGAGGGUAUCUUGUGAAUAUGGAAAAGGUAAUUAGUGGUGGAAUUAAUGUAAAUAAAAACUUUAGUUUCUCAUCCAUGACCCUAGAAGAGUCUAUUUUUGAUCUAUAAGACUCAUUCUUGACGAUGUAUAUAGCAUUAGUUUCUAUGGUUUUGAAUUGUUGAAAAAUGGAAAAAGGUGUAUGAUAAGAAAGGAGGGUACAUCAAACUAAAAAGGGUUGAAAAGUUCAUCCUUGCAGUGGGCGCAUACGAAGAUCAGAUUUUCAAGAAGAGAUCAGCAAUCCGUGAAAAAAGCAAACUUCGACGAUUUCUUUAUUUUUAAUUUCCUUACAAAUUCAUAAAUAUACUUUUGCAAUUAAUCUUUUGUCUAGAGUGGUAAUAGAGAAGAGGAGUUGUUUCCUGUGAUAAGUACUCAUAAUCAGAAGGGUUCGUCUGUUGGUUCUGAUGUUUGUUCACCAUACACCGAAAAAUUACCUGAUCAUGAUGUGCAAGUAUGAUAUGGCCGAGAAUACAAAAGCUGCUCAGAUGAUCGAGAAGACAAAAGCAUUGAAUGAACAAUUAAAAUCUUACUAUCGUGAGAUAUCGGAUGUUUUCAGAAACGGUCUUCUUUCAGACAUGGUGAAACUGGGUACUCCUGG
Lactuca sativa (garden lettuce) is the source of this 1513-nucleotide non-coding RNA. The record is from RefSeq and is a predicted model, not a curated record. Lineage: Eukaryota; Viridiplantae; Streptophyta; Magnoliopsida; Asterales; Asteraceae.